AUACGUAGGUGGCAAGCGUUGUCCGGAUUUACUGGGCGUAAAGGGGGCGCAGGCGGGAAGCUAAGUUGGAUGUGAAAUACCGGGGCUCAACUCCGGAGCUGCAUCCGAAACUGGGUUUCUUGAGUGGAGUAGAGGGCGGAGGAAUUCCGGGUGGAGCGGUGAAAUGGGUAGAAAUUAGGAGGAACAUCAGAGGCGAAGGCGGCUUGCUGGGCUCUAACUGACGCUGAGGCCGGAAAGCGUGGGGAGCAAACAGGAUGAGAUCCCCUGGUAGUCCACGCCGUAAACGAUGAUGACUAGGUGUGGGGGGUCUGACCCCUUCCGUGCCGCAGUUAACGCAAUAAGUAAUCCACCUGGGGAGUACGGCCGCAAGGCUGAAACUCAAAUGAAUUGACGGGG
RNAcentral lists this ribosomal RNA (396 nucleotides) under uncultured bacterium. RNAcentral's name for it is "partial 16S ribosomal RNA". It matches the Rfam family "Bacterial small subunit ribosomal RNA", at positions 523 to 918 of the family's 1533-position model. The record is from RNAcentral.